Molecule: long non-coding RNA, 375 nt
Organism: Oreochromis niloticus (Nile tilapia)
Lineage: Eukaryota; Metazoa; Chordata; Actinopteri; Cichliformes; Cichlidae
Exons: 3
Source: RefSeq, a predicted model, not a curated record
UUUUGGUCCCCAGAGGCAAAAGCGUCCCCAAUGAACGGGUGUGUCAGCUGAUAUAAGUCCCCAAUUUUGACACAAGUAAACACACAGACGCACACACAGAUAAGCAAACACUGAAAACGCCCCCCAAAAAACAGGAGGUUGGAAAGAAAACGACUGAAGCGCCGUGAAGACGUUUCACCUCUCACCCAAGAGACUUCUUCAGUGCGGCGUUAUCAUGAAGCCCUUCGAGCCUGCAUAAAACCAGGCUCAAAGAAAUGACGCUUUAACAGCAUCCAACGACACCCCCACCCCACCCCAUCCAAAUUGGUACCCAGGUUGCUAUGGCAACCAUAAGUGGCAGUGCUGAUGUCAGAAACUCCUCCAAGGACAGUCAUG